GUAUGUACCAUGUUGUGUUGUCAUUGAAAUUACGUUAUCCUCCAGGUGGAGGAUAUCUCUAGGUCAAUCGCCAUAGACGUGGACUAUGUGGGCACCAUGGAUUUUGAUAUGGAAGUUGAAGAUAAGAACUUCCUCAUGAGGCAAGGGGCAGUAGCGACCGUUGCCUUCCUGGAGGAGAGGAAGGAGAAAAAGGACGAGGAAAAGGUUGAGAUGAAAAAUGAGACGAAAGAUGAGAAGGAAAAGGUGGAUAUGUAGGUUGAGAAGUAGGAUAAGAAGAAGGGUGAGGAGUAUAAAAAGGAUGAGACAACGGAUGAAAUUAAGAAUGAUAAAUAGGAUAAGAAGGAAGGAUGAGAAGUUGAAUGUGAAGUAGGAAGAGAUGUACGAUGAGAAGAAAGAUGAGAAGGGGGAUGGGGGGAGGGUGAGAAGGACGAUGAGAUGCAGGAUGAGAUGAACGGUGAGAAGAAAAAUGAGAAUGAGGAUGAGAAGAAGGAUGAGAAGGAGGGUGAGAAGUAGGAUGAGAUAUUGGGUGAAAAGUAGGAUGAGAAGAAAUAUGAGUAAGGUAAGAUGUAGGGUGAGAAGUAGGAUAAGAUGUCGGAUGAGAAGGAGGAUGAGAAGGAGGAUGAGAAGAAAGAUUAGAAGAAGGGUGAGAAGGAGGGUGAGAUGUAGGGUGAGAUGUAGGGUGAGAUGUAGGGUGAGAUGUAGGAUGAGAAGGAGGAAGAGAUGUAGGAUAAUAUGAGAAGUAUAGGAUGAGAGGGAAUGCUGAGAAGAAUAAUAUGUAGGAUGAGAAAAACGAUCAAACGUAGAUGAGAAGUAGAAUAAUAAGAAGAAUGAGAAGGAGGUUGAUAAGAAAGGCAGUAACAAUGUGGAUGAAUUGUGCAGCAUGCUUUAAAGUCUUGAUAGCAGCUGGCUUUCUAACUUUCAUAGGAAGACGCGCAAGGUGCCAUUUUUGUGAUUAUUUACUGAACUUGUACUAUGCAACUUAAAAGAGUGAUAAGGAAGUACAGAAGAUGAAAGUGUA
Molecule: long non-coding RNA, 1018 nt
Organism: Branchiostoma floridae (Florida lancelet)
Lineage: Eukaryota; Metazoa; Chordata; Leptocardii; Amphioxiformes; Branchiostomatidae
Exons: 2
Source: RefSeq, a predicted model, not a curated record